UUAUUGUGGUUUCAACUUACACAUUGACUCGGGCAGCAAUGCUCUCCCACACCAUUUCCCUCUCGUUUGCAGCGGUGUUGCACUUCUUUCUAAAAACGUGUUCAAACUCGCUAUAUAAGCGCAUUAAGAUUUCCAAUUCAAACGGUGUCGUCCUCUGUUUACCCGUUGCCACGGUGACUCGUCGAAUCGGCGCUCCAUUGAUACUGGCUUUUCAGACCUGUGGCGCACGUGCUUAAUUCCGGGGGAAACUACUCCGACUUGAUUUAACCAACAACAGUUUGUUGAACCCACUUCGUGAAACGGACUCCAGCAGACAAACUAAACCACAACUAACACUAAAACAAACUACACUACCAAACCUACAAAAACCACAAAACCAAACAGGAAUAACCUCAACCAAACAACACAGCAAUGUACUUACAAAAACCAGGGGAAAACAGAGCUAAAGGCUAGGCAGGCUAGGAGAACCCAGAAGCUAGUGGGGAAACAAAACUGGCAGACUGAAGACCAGGGAGCAUCCAAAAACAGACAGGAGUUGAACAGAGUCCACAAGAGAAAAAUCCAGGACAGCAAAAUCGGUUGAGUCCAAGAGGCUGAAGCUGACAAGCAGUAGAAGGCUUGGUGGGGAAACCCACAAUCCAGGAACACAGCAGAAGCCAUGGAGGGAUGUGAGCCGAUGAUCCGGCAAUGAGUGACUGGAAGCACAGAGCUUAAAUACUGGAGGCUCAGAUUCCCACAAAGACUCACAUGGCUUCACACGCUCUGCUCCCUCAUGGACUCUGCUUCCCCACUUCUGGACUCCUUUUUCCCCGACCCGUUUUCUCCGUCUUGUGAGUACCUCUCCUUAGUUUACUUUUGUUAAUCCAGUUUAGUAUUGGUUGACUUCCGUUUCUGUAUUCGUAGUGUUUGCUGGGUUUUAAAUAGUUGGGUUUUGUUUUGUUUCCCCAGUUCAGCUCUCCAUUUAUGUACUAGUUUAGUUAUCUUUUUUUAAAUGAAACUCUUUCCAUUAUUCACCUGUCUGCAAGUCUCUCUGUGUCUGUGCCUGCUUUGUCCAACUCAGGGCCCAAACCGUCCCUUAAAUAACCCUGGGUCCGUUUCACGAAGCAGGUUCAACAAACUCUGUGUAACCCUGAACUCUGAGUUGAUCUACUCUGAGAUAGAAAACUCUGAGUUUUCGGUUUCACAACGGCUGAUUUGAGUUGGUUUAAUCAACUCGGAGUAGUUUCACCCAGAGUGCACCGCAACUAUAAAAAGACAGCAUCAAUGGAACCCCGAUUCGACGACUCACCGUGGUGACGGGGGAGCGGAGAGCUACGUUUUUUACACCACUUGAACUGGACAUCUUAAUGCGUUCAUAUGGCGACUUCGAACACGUUUUUAGAAAGAAGUGCAGCAGCUGCAAAAGAGAGGGAGACGGCGUGGGAGAACAUUGCUGCCCGGGUCAAUGCGUAAGUUUAAAUCACAAUAAUAUUACAGGAAAACUGUUUAAUAGUAGCCUAUUCUGUUAUUUCAUUUAGGUGCAAUCCUGCAGGGGAAGAAGCGCAUGUAACAGCAGCUGAAGAUGAAAUAUAAGAACAUUGUUCAAACAGAAAGAAAGCAGAUGCCUGUAAAAAGGGAGGUGGCCCAGCACCACCACCUGUAACGGAGGCAGAGGAGCUGGUCCUAAGCCAGAAUUUAGGAAGGCCAGUGGCUGAGGGAAUCCCUGGAGGGAGCUCAUCCUCUGAGACCACAUCCCAAGACACAAGUGUGUGCGUGUGUGUGUGUUCAUGCGCCCACUGAACAUUUGCCAUAAGGAAGCACAGAGCACUGCAUCGUUUCUGCGUACGAGCGAGUGUGUGUGCAGCCACAGCGAUGGCAUGCGUGAAGGGGUGUGCUUUAAAGAUAGUGAGUUUAAUUAAAGAUGAAAGGGCUGAUGAUUAAUUGAUGGAAGGUGGACUGUUCCAUCAGGCUGAAGUGUGUGUGUGUGUGUGUGUGCGCGCGCGCGCGUGCGUGCGUGUGUGUGUGGACUCUUCUACUGUCGACAAACAGAAAAAGUGGGGAAAAAAAAGCUACAUUUUUUUUGAGAAAACUAGGACAGCAUCUUAAAAGACACAUUAUAUCGUCAUUUAAAAACAAAUGAUAAAUAUAAUUUGCUAAUUUGAUCAGUCCUUUAUUGAAGAAAACUGGCGUGGAGGUUCAGAUACACACAUCUGGAUGACAAAAAAGAUAUUUAAAUGAUUUUCUAGUGCAGAUCUUUGCCUGUAUUUACUCAUGCCGUGCUAUAGAAGUGAGCAGAUCAUCCCUGCUGUAUUUUUACUGCUCAUCUCUCAGCAGGUCUUCCUUUGCCCCCGUCUUCUCAAGGUGGCACCGAGAGAGACUCUCCUCUAUAAAAAAUGGAGCAGCACAAGCUCUUUUGACAUCACACUUUCUGCUACCAGGACAUUAGAAAGAGAAGGUGGAGCACUCCGGACAAAACGCUCUCGGUCUGUGCAUCUGUACUGAAGAUUUAAUCUCCACGCGACACUCUGAGUCAGAGAGGUUGCUGGGGGAUUAGUUUGUCUCACCUGCCGCUAAUGUGAUUAUUCCAGGCCAGCUGUAAAUUUCUGUAUAUAUUGUUUUAUUUAAUUUUGCUAUUUCAUUUUUCUUCCUGUUCCUUUCUAUAGUUUCUUUAUUUUUUAUUAUUCUCUUCCAUAUUCCUAGUGUGACACCAACAGCCGAAACCAAAUUCCUUGCAUGUUGUGUACUUACUUGGCCAUUAGAGCCGAUUCUGAUCACUUUUCUGUCUUUGGUCUAGGCAAGAGGAAAAGGUGCAACAGAAAAUUGGACUUUCCAAGCAUACUUGUGGAGAUGCACGCUGAGGAGGAGUGGAGUCAUGCCCAGCAUGAUGAGAACAUCUGGUUGCUCCUCAGCGAGGCAAGAGAGAAUGAAGCGGCCUUGCAGCGGGAGGAGAUGGUCCAGAAUGCUGCCUUCAACCAGUCAUUCCUGGGUGUACUGGGGCAGCUGGUGCAGGCAGUGGGCAGCCAGCGAGUCCACCUCCCAGAGACUUGAGAUUUAGUUGUAUAUAGUUUUACUUUUAGCCCUCUACUGUAGGAGAGGCCCACCACAGUUUGUACUUUACACAUUGUAAAUAGUUUUGAUUUUGCUGCUGACUAAUAAACUAUUUUGUGACUUAUGUGAUUGCAUCAUAACUUUUCAUUUUGUCUGUUAAGACACUGGUAGGAAAAGAGUCA
Amphiprion ocellaris (clown anemonefish) is the source of this 3209-nucleotide long non-coding RNA. Lineage: Eukaryota; Metazoa; Chordata; Actinopteri; Pomacentridae. The record is from Ensembl.